This 628-nucleotide long non-coding RNA is filed under the name Vigna radiata. Its description in RNAcentral is "long non-coding RNA (VRAD_LNC003050)". Lineage: Eukaryota; Viridiplantae; Streptophyta; Magnoliopsida; Fabales; Fabaceae. The record is from RNAcentral.
AAAGAAAGGGUCAGAUUUUGAAAUUGCUUUUCAUUUGCGAAAUACACCAAUCUCCGCACCAUUUGAACGAGAGAGAAGCUCCCGAACCAACCACCACUGCAAAGUCAAAGUCGUGCGAACCAGCCACCACUGUCGCCGGAGAGCCACCAUCCAUCCGAAGAGUUGUCUUCCCUCCACCCAGCCACCCAGUCUCGCCGUAGUGUCGUCUCAUUGCCGGCGUAAAAAAGGGAAACCCUAGACGCCGGAGGUCCGCCGUCGUGUUCUCUCCCCCCAACCCACCAUGCCGUCACCGUUCGAAGACAAAAUCUUCACGUUGCCUUCAGUCUUCCCAACCACCAAGUACCGUCGGAGUGUCGCCGGAGCUCUGCCGCAGUGCCGCCGGAGUACCUUGAUAAAAAGGUAUUUUCUUCUUUUUAACUACGAUUUGCUUGAGUUUCUCCUUUCAUUGAUUGUGUUUUCAAGCACUGUAGUUGUUGUUGUUGUAUGGUUAGAAGCAAAGCUUACUCUGUUGCCAUAAAAAUAGCUUUUGUAUCGUUUAUCAAUGAACUGAUUGGAUCUGUUUAAGAGGGUGCAUGUAUCGUUUAAUAGUUUUUGUAUCAUUUUUGGCGUGCCAGCCCCCAUUUUUCGC